Molecule: ribosomal RNA, 301 nt
Filed under: uncultured bacterium
Lineage: Bacteria
Description: partial 16S ribosomal RNA
Rfam family: Bacterial small subunit ribosomal RNA
Source: RNAcentral
CAGCAGCCGCGGGAAUACGAAGGGGGCUAGCGUUGUUCGGAUUAACUGGGCGUAAAGGGUGCGUAGGCGGGUUUUUAAGUCAGAGGUGAAAUCCUGGAGCUCAACUCCAGAACUGCCUUUGAUACUGAAAGUCUUGAGUAUGGGAGAGGUGAGUGGAACUGCGAGUGUAGAGGUGAAAUUCGUAGAUAUUCGCAAGAACACCAGUGGCGAAGGCGGCUCACUGGCCCAUCACUGACGCUGAGGCACGAAAGCGUGGGGAGCAAACAGGAUUAGAUACCCCCGUAGUCCCUGUCUCUUAUAC